UUCUAACUUAUAAAAAUAUAUAAUAAAUAUACAUGCAUUAAAAAUAACGCAGAGAGGGACUUCCCUGGUGGACCAGUGGUUAGGACUCCCGAACUUCCACUUCAGGGAGCAACUGGUCAGGGAACUAAGAUCCCGCAAGCCGCGUGGCACAGCCAAAAAAAAUAAUAACAAAAAUAACACAGAGAAAUAAAAUACUACUAGGUAGGAUGGAAACUUACUAAUGCUUCCCGCGUUUUCCUAUUUUUCUACAAUUGGCCUGUAUCCCUUUAAUAACAAGAAAUGUUACAAAAAUAAAAGGCGCCUGCGCGAGCACACACGUGACUUCCCCCCGGGUAUGAGGAACUGCUUAUCGCGUUCUUCCUUCAGACAGCUGCCUCUUGGUCCAGUCUUGUGCCCAGAAGAUGGUUUUUCUUGGCUCUGGGACUAAAUGGAGUGAACACCUGGUCCAGAUUUGCUUGGCUCUUUCUUCUCUAAGCAACUAAUUCCUGAUGGAAAAAUAUGCUUACACCACAUAGACUCACACCAAAGACAAGGGAAAGCUUCCAUUUAUCCUGUCGCUUUGAUUUCAUUUCUGCCUCCUGAAGGUGAAGUCAGCCCAGGCAAGCCUCAUCCAGCGCCUCACGACACAGAAAAGAGUUUGGCCUGGCUGACUGCAUGAUUAUCACAGUGCAACAGAACCUUGGCAGCAGCCUUUUAAGCAGGGUGCUGUGUUUCUGAAGACCGCAUCGCAAAAGAGAAACUCAGAGCUGCACCAAGAUGCAACCUACAAAACGUGUGGGUGACCAGCCCUGCGUACACCCACUUUUCUAUGCCAAGUUACUCUUCUCAUCUGCGACUGGCCUACUUUCAUUCUGCCUUCUUCUCCCAUACUCCUUAGUCUAGCCUGUUGCAUGAGCUGCCACACCCUGAUUCUAUCUGAUGUUUUCAUCCCUCACUUCAACCAGUGGUGCUGGAGUCGGCUCCUACUGGCUCAAGAAAGUGAUUGUGCGUUGUCCUUCCCAAUGUCAUGUUCAAAAACAUGACAUUGGUAGCUUGAAAUUGGGCAUGGUAAGGGUAAUUACAUCACAGAAAGCAGCAAAUCCUACAAAUAAGGCUUUUCCCCCCUCCAGAGAGCCAGUUGUUAAACAUUUACUACCAUCCAACUGAAUUUACUCCUUUUCAAAAGUUAAAUAAGGAUCGAUUUUAUUUUGACAAAUGUUUAGCUCUAUCCUCAGCCCUACAAUAACCAAAAAGAGUAUCAAUCCUGGGCAAAAUGGUUAUACAUGCCCUAUGUACCACUGCACAGUUUUCUUCAGAAUAGGCUCCUCCAAAUUGGUCCCCCUCCCCUCCUUCAUGGCUCUGAUCUACCUCCAAGCCAGCCUCAGCAAGGCUGGAGCACCUGGAGCUUUCAUGACCAUUCUCCCCUAUCAAAACUUAAAACAAAUUUUUUUUAUUGGAGUAGAGUUGAUUUACAAUGUUGUGUUAGUUUUGGGUGUACAGCAAAGUGAUUCAGUUAUACAUAUACAUAUAUCUACUCUUUUUUAGAUUCUUUUCCCAUAUAGGUCAUUACAGAGUACUGAGUAGAGUUCCCUGUGCUAUACAGUAGGUCCUCCUUAUUAGUUAUCUAUUUUAUAUAUAGUAGUGUAUAUAUGUCAGUCCCAGUCUCCCAGUUUAUCCCUCUCCCACCCCUUUCCCCCUGGUUCCUCUAUCAAAACUUGCCUGACCGAUGUUCCAUUUACCUAUGCCAAAUUGAUAAAUGCAUUCUAACUGGGUAUUUCUCCAUAUUUUAUUUCUCUUAGAUGAAUAUAUUUUUAACACAGGGUUUUCAGUGUCUUAGCUCCAAGAAUGAGGGGAAUUUCAGUCACCUUGCCAAGGCUAGCAAAUAUUUAGAGAGUAGUGAAACCAAUCACUCUCCUAAAUAGACCUUACAUACUUAUUUCAAUAAAGAAUUACAAGAUGAUAGUCACUUUAGAAAAUAAUUUGGCAUUUCAAAUGUCAAACAUUAAAACCUUAUGACUUAGAAGGUAUUCCACCCUAGGUAUAUAGCUAAGAAAAUUGAAAAUGUACAUCUACACAAAAACUUGUAUGUGAAUGUUCAUGGCGGCACUAUUCAUAAUGGCUAAACAGUGGAAAUCAUUCAAAUGUCCAUCAACUAAUAAAUAGAUAAAUAAAAUGUGGUUGGGACUUCCCUGGUGGCUCAGUGGUUAAGAAUCUGCCUGCCAAUGCAGGGGACACAGGUUCAAUCCCUGGUCCGGGCAGAUCUCACAUGCUGCGGAGCAACUAAGCCCGUGCACCACAACUACUGAGCCUGCACUCUAGAGCCUGCGAGCCACAACUACUGAGCCCGCGUGCUGCAACUACUGAAGCCCACGCGUCUAGAGCCCGUGCUCCUCAACGAGAAGCCACAGCAAUGAGAAGCCCGUGCACUGCAACCAAGAGUAGCCCCCACUUGCAGCUAGAGAAAGCCCCGCGUGCAGCAUUGAAGACCCAAUGCAGCCCCAAAUAAAUAAAUUUAAAAAAAUAUGGUCUACCAUACAAUGGAAUAUUAAGACAUAAAAAGAAAUGAAGUACUAAUACAUGCUAUAACAUAGGUAAACCUUGAAAACAUGUAAAGUGAAAGAAACCAGACACAAAAGACCACACACUAUAAGAUUCCAUUUAUAUGAAAUGCUCAGAAUAGGCAAAUCCAGACAAAGUAAUUAAGACAGAAAGUAGAUUAGUGGUUUCCAGGGGCUACGGUGGAGGGGGAAUGGCAAGUGACUGCUAAUGGGUAUGGAGUUUCUUUAGGGGGUGAUAAAGAUGUUCUUACAUUAGAUAGUGGUGAGGGUUACACAUCUCUGUGAAUAUAGGAAAAAACACUGAAUUGUACACUUUUCAAGGGUGAAUUUUAUGGCAUGUGAAUUAUGUAUCAAUAAAGCUGUUAUUUUUAUUUUUUUGUAA
Balaenoptera ricei (Rice's whale) is the source of this 2919-nucleotide long non-coding RNA. RefSeq lists it as uncharacterized. NCBI's taxonomy places the organism in Eukaryota, Metazoa, Chordata, Mammalia, Artiodactyla, Balaenopteridae. The transcript is spliced from 2 exons. The record is from RefSeq and is a predicted model, not a curated record.